AGCAGCCGCGGUAAUUCCAGCUCCAAUAGCGUAUAUUAAAGUUGCUGCAGUUAAAAAGCUCGUAGUUGAAUUUCGGGACUAAUAUGUUGGUCGUGCCUCGGUACGUACUGAUAUUUUUGGUUUCUCCCUUCUGACGAACCUUGAUGUCAUUAAUUUGGUGUCUUGGGAAAUCAGGACUGUUACUUUGAAAAAAUUAGAGUGUUUAAAGCAGGCUCACGCUUGAAUACAUUAGCAUGGAAUAAUGAAAUAGGACGUUUGAUUCUAUUUUGUUGGUUUCUAGGAUCGACGUAAUGAUUAAUAGGGAUAGUUGGGGGCAUUAGUAUUCAAUUGUCAGAGGUGAAAUUCUUGGAUUUAUUGAAGACUAACUACUGCGAAAGCAUUUGCCAAGGAUGUUUUCAUUAAUCAAGAACGAAAGUUAGGGGAUCGAAGACGAUCAGAUACCGUCGUAGUCUUAACCAUAAACUAUGCCGACUAGGGAUCGGAUGAUGUUAAUUUUUAAUGACUCAUUCGGCGCCUUAAC
This 520-nucleotide ribosomal RNA is filed under the name uncultured Glomus. RNAcentral describes it as "SSU rRNA". It matches the Rfam family "Eukaryotic small subunit ribosomal RNA", at positions 569 to 1092 of the family's 1831-position model. Lineage: Eukaryota; Fungi; Glomeromycota; Glomeromycetes; Glomerales; Glomeraceae. The record is from RNAcentral.